GUUUAGUCCCGCAACGAGCGCAACCCUUAUAUUUAGUUGCCAUCAUUAAGUUGGGCACUCUAGAUAGACUGCCACAGAUAAUGUGGAGGAAGGUGGGGAUGACGUCAAAUCAUCAUGCCCCUUACGACCUGGGCUACACACGUGCUACAAUGGGAAGAACAACGAGUAGCGAGCUUGUGAAAGUAAGCGGAUCUCUAAAAGCUUCUCUCAGUUCGGAUUGUAGGCUGCAACUCGCCUACAUGAAGUCGGAAUCGCUAGUAAUCGCGAAUCAGCACGUCGCGGUGAAUACGUUCCCGGGCCUUGUACACACCGCCCGUCACACCACGAGAGUUUGUAGUACCCGAAGCCGGUGAGACAACCGCAAGGAGUCAGCCGUCUAAGGUAAGAUAGAUGAUUGGGGUGAAGUCGUAACAAGGUAGCCGUAUCGGAAGGUGCGGCUGGAUCACCUCCUUUCU
This 455-nucleotide ribosomal RNA is filed under the name uncultured bacterial symbiont of Hodotermes mossambicus Hm4. RNAcentral describes it as "bacterial SSU rRNA". It matches the Rfam family "Bacterial small subunit ribosomal RNA", at positions 1079 to 1533 of the family's 1533-position model. The record is from RNAcentral.